UGAAGCACUUUUAGUGGGAAAGAAAGCUUUGAUGCUAAUAUCAUCGAAGUGUGACGUUACCCAAAGAAAAAGCACCGGCUAACUCUGUGC
Molecule: ribosomal RNA, 90 nt
Filed under: uncultured bacterium
Lineage: Bacteria
Description: partial 16S ribosomal RNA
Source: RNAcentral